Molecule: transfer RNA, 74 nt
Filed under: Magallana gigas (Pacific oyster)
Lineage: Eukaryota; Metazoa; Mollusca; Bivalvia; Ostreida; Ostreidae
Description: Crassostrea gigas (Pacific oyster) tRNA
Rfam family: tRNA
About the family: Transfer RNA (tRNA) molecules are approximately 80 nucleotides in length. Their secondary structure includes four short double-helical elements and three loops (D, anti-codon, and T loops). Further hydrogen bonds mediate the characteristic L-shaped molecular structure. tRNAs have two regions of fundamental functional importance: the anti-codon, which is responsible for specific mRNA codon recognition, and the 3' end, to which the tRNAs corresponding amino acid is attached (by aminoacyl-tRNA synthetases). tRNAs cope with the degeneracy of the genetic code in two manners: having more than one tRNA (with a specific anti-codon) for a particular amino acid; and 'wobble' base-pairing, i.e. permitting non-standard base-pairing at the 3rd anti-codon position.
Source: Rfam by way of RNAcentral
GGCCAGAUAGCUUCAGUUGGUAGAGCACCUGACUAGAGAUUCAGGGGGCCCGGGUUCGAAUCCCGGUCUGGUCC